UGGGGAAUUUUGGACAAUGGGGGAAACCCUGAUCCAGCCAUCCCGCGUGUGCGAUGAAGGCCUUCGGGUUGUAAAGCACUUUUGGCAAGAAAGAAACGUCAUGGGUUAAUACCCCGUGAAACUGACGGUACCUGCAGAAUAAGCACCGGCUAACUACGUGCCAGCAGCCGCGGUAAUACGUAGGGUGCAAGCGUUAAUCGGAAUUACUGGGCGUAAAGCGUGCGCAGGCGGUUCGGAAAGAAAGAUGUGAAAUCCCAGAGCUCAACUUUGGAACUGCAUUUUUAACUACCGGGCUAGAGUGUGUCAGAGGGAGGUGGAAUUCCGCGUGUAGCAGUGAAAUGCGUAGAUAUGCGGAGGAACACCGAUGGCGAAGGCAGCCUCCUGGGAUAACACUGACGCUCAUGCACGAAAGCGUGGGGAGCAAACAGG
Molecule: ribosomal RNA, 429 nt
Filed under: Acidobacteriota bacterium
Lineage: Bacteria; Pseudomonadati; Acidobacteriota
Description: Acidobacteria bacterium partial 16S ribosomal RNA
Rfam family: Bacterial small subunit ribosomal RNA
Source: RNAcentral